CAACAACCUCUGCAACCUAUGCAUAAACUUUGAAUGUGGAUGACUGCCGUAAUCAUCUACCACAACGGUGAGCUUUUGCAAGUUGGGCGAGCUUUGGAUUAAAGAAAGAAGAACUUGAGCCUCUGGCAACCUGCUAAGUACAAUGUUACUAGCUUGGAGGAAUUUUAAGUUGUCGAGAGUUGCAGGCAGCUGGUAAGGGAC
Molecule: long non-coding RNA, 201 nt
Filed under: Linum usitatissimum (flax)
Lineage: Eukaryota; Viridiplantae; Streptophyta; Magnoliopsida; Malpighiales; Linaceae
Description: long non-coding RNA (LUSI_LNC002197)
Source: RNAcentral